UAUAGCUCCACAUUGAUCUGAUACUUCCUGUAUAUAGGUCCACAUUGAUCGGGUACUUCCUGUAUAUAGCUCCACAUUGAUCUGGUACUUCCUGUAUACAGGUCCACAUUGAUCUGGUACUUCCUGUAUAUAGGUCCACAUUGAUCGGGUACUUCCUGUAUAUAGCUCCACAUUGAUCUGGUACUUCCUGUAUAUAGGUCCACAUUUAUCUGGUACUUCCUGUAUAUAGGUCCACAUUGAUCUGCUACUUCCUGUAUAUAGGUCCACAUUGAUAUGGUGCUUCCUGUAUAUAGGUCCACAUUGAUCUGGUACUUCCUGUAUAUAGCUUCACAUUGAUCUGGUACUUCCUGUAUAUACCGCCACAUUGAUCUGGUACUUCCUGUAUAUAGCGUCACAUUGAUCUGGUACUUCCUG
This 414-nucleotide long non-coding RNA is filed under the name Salmo salar (Atlantic salmon). RNAcentral describes it as "lncRNA (ENSSSAG00000092146.1)". Lineage: Eukaryota; Metazoa; Chordata; Actinopteri; Salmoniformes; Salmonidae. The record is from RNAcentral.